This 408-nucleotide ribosomal RNA is filed under the name uncultured organism. Its description in RNAcentral is "bacterial LSU rRNA". It matches the Rfam family "Bacterial large subunit ribosomal RNA", at positions 2078 to 2485 of the family's 2925-position model. The record is from RNAcentral.
GGACAGAAAGACCCUAUGAAGCUUUACUGUAACUUGAAAUUGAAAUUGGACUUUAUUUGCGCAGUAUAGGUGGGAGGCGUUGAGAAUAUUCUUGCGGGAAUAUUGGAGCCAUCAGUGAGAUACCACUCUUGUAAUGUUAGAUUUCUAACUUUGAAUCAUUAUCUGGUCAAAGAACAGUUUCAGGCGGGCAGUUUGACUGGGGCGGUCGCCUCCCAAACGGUAACGGAGGCGUACAAAGGUUUCCUCUGAACGGGUAGAAAUCGUAUCUAGAGUGUAAAGGCAUAAGGAAGCUUGACUGUGAGACCUACAAGUCGAGCAGGGACGAAAGUCGGUCUUAGUGAUCUGACGGUGCUGAGUGGAAAGGCCGUCACUCAACGGAUAAAAGUUACUCUAGGGAUAACAGGCUGA